AGUGAACGCUGGCGGCAGGCCUAACACAUGCAAGUCGAGCGGCAGCGGGUCCUUCGGGCUGCCGGCGAGCGGCGGACGGGUGAGGAAUGCAUCGGAAUCUGCCCUGUCGUGGGGGAUAACCUAGGGAAACUUAGGCUAAUACCGCAUACGACCCACGGGUGAAAGCGGGGGAUCGCAAGACCUCGCGCGAUAGGAUGAGCCGAUGUCCGAUUAGCUAGUUGGCGGGGUAAAGGCCCACCAAGGCGACGAUCGGUAGCUGGUCUGAGAGGAUGAUCAGCCACACUGGGACUGAGACACGGCCCAGACUCCUACGGGAGGCAGCAGUGGGGAAUAUUGGACAAUGGGCGAAAGCCUGAUCCAGCCAUGCCGCGUGGGUGAAGAAGGCCUUCGGGUUGUAAAGCACUUUUGGCUGGGAAGAAAUCGUCUGGGCUAAUACCCCGGGCGGAUGACGGUACCGGAAGAAUAAGCACCGGCUAACUUCGUG
Molecule: ribosomal RNA, 484 nt
Filed under: uncultured bacterium
Lineage: Bacteria
Description: partial 16S ribosomal RNA
Rfam family: Bacterial small subunit ribosomal RNA
Source: RNAcentral